Molecule: long non-coding RNA, 1659 nt
Filed under: Betta splendens (Siamese fighting fish)
Lineage: Eukaryota; Metazoa; Chordata; Actinopteri; Anabantiformes; Osphronemidae
Description: lncRNA (ENSBSLG00000007684.1)
Source: RNAcentral
AUGGAUCGUUCACUCCUCCCCAAACACAGCCAGACCCAGACGUCCCCGGCCCCCGAGGACAGCCGGACUGGGGAUUCAAGGCUUUCUCUGUUGGACAGUCCUGAUGAAGACAUGCUCUGUGCUCACACGACAGGAACAAAAGUCUUAUCAAAUGUUUUAAAGGCUCCUGAUGCGUUUCAUGAUGUCUCCAAACCUCACAACAGCACAGACUCAGACUGUUUAAAGCCUUCAGCCAUGAGCUGUAAUAUGUCUGUGUGUCCUUCCACACUAGAGAAUGAUUUCCGGGUCUGUGGUUGUUUGGGCUCAUUGCAUCUUUUACCUCAUCUAACCCAGAACCUCGUUUCCCUCAGACCUGAAUGUUUCUCUGAGCCCUACACUGGAAGCACUGAUACAUCACACUCUCCUGGGGCGACAUCAUUCAUUUCUGAGGGUUUGAUGGAGUCAUCCAUCACUGAGCUUCUCUUCAACCACAGCUCCAGCUCUGAACACAGUCCACCCACCUUGCUAACAUGUCCAUUAUCACUUCAGUCAGAAGGCUCACUUACAGGGCCUGUGUCAGAACUGAUUAUCUUUGAAAGUGACACACAAGGCUUUAUCCCGAAGGCCAGUGUAGCUCCCCAGGAGAUCAAAUGUCCCGAAUACCAAGCUGUUUCACAAACAGCGGGGGAAGAAGCAGGUGGUCACUCUAGUAAAAAUGCCUCAACGUGUGAUUCACCUGACGCGGUGACACCGCAUCGACAUGACUCUGUUAAGCAAAGAAAGCCCGGUGAUGAAUCAGGCAUGAGUCAGUACACGGGGCUUGGACCACCUGCUGUGGGUGCCUGUGACGUGGGCUUGAUGUUGGGAAGUGAUGCGAGUCAAAGAAAAGCAGAGGUCACAGGUCUGAGUCCGCACCCCGGGAGAAGCGACAGCCCGUCUGAGGUGUGGCAGGACGCGUGCCAGUAUCUGUCAGGAGAGGAUGUGAAGGAUCAGGACGUUCUGGACAAGAGGGUUCUCGCUGUGACGCAAGGAGGACUCUCCGCCACCAGCGACUUAACGUUUCACCCGGGAAAGACACAAGUGUCAGUUUACAACCCUGAAGCUGGCGACUGGAUUGGCUGGCCCAGCGAAAAGACCAGAAGACCCCCUGUGGAGAGGUGGUCGUCGGUGGACAGCUGGGCGAGCGCGCUCUCAGACUGGGCCGAGAUCAUCAGCGCUGCGCCGGAGGACGUCACGGCGGCCUGCACGGAGAUAGGUGCGGAGAUAGAGGCGCUAACGCAGGCGCUAGCAGAGGCUGACUCACCCGCAGGUGCAGAGGCAGCAGUGAAGGCGCAGUCGCAGACGCUGGAGGAAACCCAGAGCGGCCCGACGUCCUCUCACCGCUCCACGGACCAGCGCAGAAGCAUGGGUCCGGCUGAAGGUUCUGAAAGUUAUGGUGCAGAUGUGACUCCUACACUGAGCCCUGGAUCUACGUCCCCCGUAAAUCAGAGCAUUCCUCCGUUUGAUGGAUAUGUUGAAUACUUGGACACAGACAUUUUCCUCAGCAAUGGUGCAGGUGCAGUAAUUUUGAACAUUGUAGAAGAUACAGAUUUGGAGGCACAAAAUGCACCAAACAGAGAGGUAAGAUUUUACAUAAUUCUGCAUGUACGUUCAUUUAGAGGGCCAAGUCUUCCUUCAUGA